This 2497-nucleotide long non-coding RNA is filed under the name Polistes canadensis. RNAcentral's name for it is "uncharacterized LOC106788799". Lineage: Eukaryota; Metazoa; Arthropoda; Insecta; Hymenoptera; Vespidae. The record is from RNAcentral.
AUGAUAUGCAAUAUAUAUGUAUUUCACUAUUAAUUGUCACUUAAACUAAUAAAUGUCUGUUUAUUAAUAAUAAAUAAAUUAAGUACCUAGGAAUAUGUACGUUGUGUUUAUUUAGUAAAUUAAAUACAAGAAUAAUCAUAAGUUUUAUUAUUAGAAUGUUAUACUGCAGAAGUACUCUUAUCCUAUUUCAUGGUUUGUUACCGAAUAUGAAACUACGUCAUUAAUCGUUCUCUCGUAGAAAAUCAAGGAAAUCGUUAUUUUAUUUGCUGUCCUACGAUAUAGAUUUUAUUUAAUAUAAAAAACAUGUGGCCAUUUUUACUUUCGAUAUUUGCGCUGUUUCACUUAGCUUCAGCAUCAGGUAGUUUUGAUUUUGGUGACACAUUAGCAUUAAUUUUGGGUCUUAUUAUUGGAAUUAUGGGAUUUUUUGCUUGUAUGGGGGCCUACGCAAGACGACGAAAUCAAUUUGAAUCUUUGUGAUCAUGGAAAAUGUAUUUCAAUAAAAUUCAUGGGAUAUAAGAAAUAUUUAAAACUAUAGAGGAGUCUAGAUUAAAAAUGCUUAAAAGGAGCAUCGUAUUGAAUUUAUACGUAUAUAUUAAAACAAAUGUCAAGAAAAUAUUAAAAAUUAUAUAAUAUUAUCUGCCUAAUUAUUUUAUAUUAUUGAAAAAUCAAUCUUUGAAAUAACACUAACUGUAGAUAUUCAAUAUAUAAGAAAGCGUAAGAAAUGUUUCUUUUAUAAUCAGUUUCUUUCUUUAUUUAUUUAUUUUCCUUCAUCAAGGUUACAACUGCUUUGACUUUGAUCCUUUAGCACGCAAAUAUUAUUCUUAUUUAUCAUAUAUGUGCAAGAGAAUGCACUUAUUAUAUUGUAAUAACUAUUUCUUGUUUCUGUAUUUUCUUUAUUAUAAUACAAACACUAUAUGAGCAUCUAAUAAAAACAGACAUGUUUCAAAUCAAUAGGAAUGCAAUAAAAUAAAAAUAAUUGUCAGUUGUUUCUAUUAUAAAUUUAAAGUAAUAUCGAUAAUUGAAUAGCAUAUUUAACUAUUACCACACGUUACAUAAUAUGAUUUGUAAUUACUAAUGAUCAAAUAUAUACUAUAUUAACAAAUUAAAACUAGAUGAAUAAUAUUGAUGAAAUUAAUGACGCGUUUUUAAUUUUGUCAUAGGUUAUAAUUUCAAAAUAUCAACAUUAUAUAUAUCAGUAAAGAACAUAUGAACUAAAUCACAUUGUUUUUUUUCUUUAAUAUAGAUGUUGUAAUACUAUAAGCUAUAAAUAAAAAGAAAGUAUAAAUUGCAAUCGAUGAAAUUUGCUACAGCUUUUUUAAGAAACAAAAGCUUGUUUGUUCUACACCUUCUAUAUUCAGUUAAAUAUUAUGAUCUAAUUGUGUAAAACAAAAAAUUAUUAUAACUUAAUUAUUUAUUUUCUUAAAUAAUUCAAAAUGCGUUUUCAGAUAUAUUAAAAUGAGAGUAAUAUGUAAGAAGCUUUUUUAAAAUGUAAAAGUAUUAAAAUAUUGCAAUAUUUUUUAAUAUAUCAUACUGUUUUAUCACAAGUAAGAGAUAAAUAUGACAAAAAGGGUCAUCAGUUGCACAUUUUCAAGAUUGGGAAUUUUUAAAUGUGUUUAGAGCAAAGAUUUAUAAAAUUUGAUAUCAACAUAUAACAUAGAUUAAUAAUGAUAAGUAUUUCUUAUCUAAUUUGCAGAAAUCUGGAACUUUCAAAAAGAGUAAGGAAAUAUUUAAAAACACAUUUUCACGCUGUGUAUUUUUCUACAUUUCGCUUUAAUAUUUUUCAUUUAUGAUAUUUUUCUACAUGUGUUCUCACAUUCCUCAUUCUUUUUGGGCUCAUAACUUUUAUGUAUUUUUGGUUUAUUUCCUCACUUAAGAACAACAUGUAAAACUCAAUGCAAUGUCACUGAAAUUAAAUUCACAUAAGUUUAAACUGUAUUCAAUUGAAAAAUGUACUUGUUGCAAUUCUUAUUCUGUCAAUCAUAUGUAAUUCAAUAUUCACAUUCAUCAGUUCAAUUUUUAUAUUUCUAAGAAUUAUGCAUUUUAAACAUAAAAAUAAUGUUCACUCAUAGAUAAUUGAAUAUGUUCAUUACUUCUCCGCAGAUCUACAAUGCAUUACGCUAAUACCAUAAACUAUAAUAUAAACGGAGAUUGAUCCGCCUGUUUUUCACGGAAGAGAAUCAGUAUUUCUUACACCAAGAGAUUACUAACUACUAAUUUUUUGAGUUUCGAAAUGUAUACUCUAAUCGUGUGUAAUAUUAUUACAGUCCAAUAAAUAUACACAUGUAUGUGUAUAAAUGAAAUAAAAAACUAGCAGAAAUGAAAAUAUUUCCAACACUGAUUUCUCAUGUGUGUUUUUUACUCAUUUGCUUACUGAUUCUUGUUUUACCUAAUCAGUCUUUAUGUUUCUAUUCUUGAAAUUCUGAGAAACAUAAUUCUAAAAUUGUUUCUUAAGUUCAUAUACUAGAAAGAAUUCAUAUACUAGUUAGCACAAAAAAAA